AGUAAAUGUCACGCCCCGGGAUUCCUUUUAGUUUAAAACAUAGCGGAAAAGCGUCUAAAUUUUUUUUUUUGAGAACCCGACCCCAGAGUAUGACAGAUCCACCACAAAUACAGGGAAUCCACUGUUUACACGGACAGAGUCUCCCCUGUAUUUGCACGGCGUCGCACAAGUAUAAGAAGUAAUCCAGGUACAACCACAACCAGAUGAAUAUACAAACAACCAACAGUUAUAUAUUCAUACACCAUUCACCACAGGUUCACAUUUUAACAUUCCAUUUUUAAACAUAAAUUCACAUCUAUCAGUUAAAAUGUUUCCAACCACAGAAAUAGGUUUUGAAAUACUAAGAUACAAAAUCCACAUAAAACCUUUUGAAAACUGUUCCCUGCACAGGAACUUUUAUCUUUUUAAAACGCUACCACGAGGGGUAGAAAACCAUUUUAUUUCAAGAAACACAAAUUCCUUUAUUACAUUCCAAAACCAACUGAAAACAUCAAUAUCCAAUAGCAAAUAAUAGAAACUGAACCAUAUAAGUAUCUAAG
RNAcentral lists this long non-coding RNA (539 nucleotides) under Ananas comosus (pineapple). Its description in RNAcentral is "long non-coding RNA (ACOM_LNC009362)". The record is from RNAcentral. Lineage: Eukaryota; Viridiplantae; Streptophyta; Magnoliopsida; Poales; Bromeliaceae.